This 498-nucleotide ribosomal RNA is filed under the name uncultured bacterium. RNAcentral describes it as "partial 16S ribosomal RNA". It matches the Rfam family "Bacterial small subunit ribosomal RNA", at positions 28 to 507 of the family's 1533-position model. The record is from RNAcentral.
GACGAACGCUGGCGGCGUGCCUAAUACAUGCAAGUCGAACGAGAGCGCCCGGUGCUUGCACUGGUCAAUCUAGUGGCGAACGGGUGAGUAACACGUGGGUAACCUGCCCAUCAGAGGGGGAUAACAUCCGGAAACGGAUGCUAAAACCGCAUAGGUCUUCGAACCGCAUGGUUUGAAGAGGAAAAGAGGCGCAAGCUUCUGCUGAUGGAUGGACCCGCGGUGCAUUAACUAGUUGGUGAGGUAACGGCUCACCAAGGCCGUGAUGCAUAGCCGACCUGAGAGGGUGAUCGGCCACAUUGGGACUGAGACACGGCCCAAACUCCUACGGGAGGCAGCAGUAGGGAAUCUUCCGCAAUGGACGCAAGUCUGACGGAGCAACGCCGCGUGAGUGAAGAAGGUUUUCGGAUCGUAAAACUCUGUUGUUAGAGAAGAACAAGUGCUAGAGUAACUGUUAGCGCCUUGACGGUAUCUAACCAGAAAGCCACGGCUAACUACGUG